Molecule: long non-coding RNA, 2245 nt
Filed under: Xyrichtys novacula (pearly razorfish)
Lineage: Eukaryota; Metazoa; Chordata; Actinopteri; Labriformes; Labridae
Rfam family: U5 spliceosomal RNA (bases 1828-1941)
Source: RNAcentral
CCAGAUUGACUAUUCCACAAAGCUGGAAGAUUUUUUUUAUUUUUUUACAUUUUUUGUGAGCUGCUUCUCCACUAUCUCCAAACCACAGACGAAGGGUCAGUGUCUCUUUUAGUAAUUGGAUAUAACGUUUUGAAACAGAUGUCAAAAAUAGAACACUGACUGGUUAUUUGAUUUUUGUUUUAAAAAUAGAAAUUAAUAAAUAAAUAAAUAAACAUUAUGAGAAAAAAUGGGAUUUAGUAAAGGGAUACGAUUCCUUCAAGGGGUCAGACAUGAUUAUAAUCUUGUGCAAGUGUUGAGUAAUUUCUCUAGUGAUGUAAAUGCAUUCUAAAUCAGACCUUAUUACUAAAGAAGUCUAUAAUUAUGGAUCUGGAUCUAAAUGAAGUACGAACACAAAAUGUUAAUCAUUACACAGGUGAAAAAGAAUCAUUCAUCAAGAUUAAAUGUAAAUCUCUCCUCAAGAAACUCAUUAAAAUGAUGAGUAUGUUUCACAUAAUGAGUUUCUUUAUAUCUUCGGAGAUCAUGGGAUAAUUUGAGGAUUUUACUUUUUGUGUGAUUAAUCCAGAGUAGGGGAGAGUGGGGUAAGAUCAUAGUUUUGUCUCUAACUAGUGUAUCUGCAGAUAUUUCAAGAUGUUGUUCAUCCCUGCAAACUAACAGAAUGAGUGUAAACAUAACUGUCUUGAUAAUAUAGCAUGCCAAAAAAAAGUGGUCUGGGGUAUGGGGUAAGUUGACCAUAGUAGUGGGGUAAAUUGAGUCGUAUCCCUACCACCCCUCCACUCUCCACCCCAGCCCUCCCUCACCUUCUCUCUCCCUAAAUAACAGUAACUUCUUCACAUUCGUGUAUAUUUUUAUCUAUUAUACACUAUUCAACUGGUACAAUAAUUCUUUUGAUUAUUAUUAUUAUUGCAUAAAACUGCUAAAAAGCUGUUUUGUAAAAGGUCAUGGAUAACACAAUUGAUGUAUAAAACAAAUUUAAAAUUAUCUUUUUUUGGUCUGAACACAAUUCUAAUCAAACUUGUGACAGACUAAAUUUACUUUCAAGAGAGAAAAAUGUUGGUUUUUUUGCAAACAAAUGUCUAACCUCUUCACCCAUGUGCUUCUAACCUUCACAGACUCCAUGAAUUGAUGCCCAUCUCCUAAAUAUUUGGUCACAUGAUCAAUUUCUUUGACCAUUUCCAAGCAACAGGGGGUGGCUCAACUUACCCUUUGGCUCAACUUACCUCACUCUCACCUAUGUUGAAUCAAAUUAUAGGAUCCGUUCUACGUGUUUUACACUCAGUUAUGUGUUUAUAGUUUAAACAUUAAAAUAAAAACGACUUUUAUAAAACUCUUAAUCACUUUUUUCACAAAAGAAAGCAAGUAAUUUCGUGUUAACUGUUAAACCCUGUAGAAAAAACACCCAGGCUGUGACAGGAAGAUGGUGACUCGGACGUUGAGACCGAAAAUUAUACUCUCAUUGGAAAAUUACCCGUCCAACUCCGCAGUCCUCACACUUUCGUAGUGUUUUAGGACAACUCUCAAAUAACAACAGGAAACAUAACGGAAACCUUUGUAUUUCGUAGCGCCAAACAACAAUGACUUCAUAACUCCGGACCCGCCGGAAACAAGAAGAACGACGUCCCAUCAUGCCUUGCGCGCGUACGCAAACGUCUGUCUAACGCAAAGUUAACGUUUGCUUCUCAGGACACAAUUUUGUGUUAGUGUUUUAUGGUUUUUGUAGUUUUUGUACGAACUAUUUAAGAUGUUUGCGUAAGUGAACGUAAAAAGAACCGCAAUUGAAACAUAUAUGUGCGCCGAUGGGGUCCGUGUGAGAACCUCAUUAUUGACAGUUCACUCUUGUUUCUCUUCAGAUCGUAUAAAUCUUUCGCCUUUUACUAAAGAUUUCCGUGGAGAGGAACAACAAGAGUAUAUCUCAAUUUUUUGAUGCCCUGCGAAAGCGGGGCUUCCUAAUUUGUACAAAGUUAAUCAUUGUCUUAACGGUACAUGAUAAUUUAUGUAUGAAACAAUAUGAAUUGGACCAGCGCACAAGCCUGCAUGAAGUUCUCAAAGUCAGGCCAAAAACUGCACAAUGUAUAAUUGGAGAACGUAAUAACCACACUUUAGUGUAGAAACUUUCUCUCAUAUGUGUUUUCACCGCACUCAGUUUCUGUUGUCCCCCCCUUUCCUCUAGAUCUCUGGCGCCAUCUCCAGGUUGACAAUCACCACUACAAAUGUUUAAUCUUUUCAAUACUGUAUGUCAAACCAGCAG